AUUGAACGCUGGCGGCAUGCUUUACACAUGCAAGUCGAACGGUAACAGGUUAAGCUGACGAGUGGCGAACGGGUGAGUAAUGCAUCGGAACGUGCCCGAUCGUGGGGGAUAACGCAGCGAAAGCUGCGCUAAUACCGCAUACGAUCUGAGGAUGAAAGCGGGGGACCGUAAGGCCUCGCGCGAUCGGAGCGGCCGAUGUCAGAUUAGGUAGUUGGUGGGGUAAAGGCCCACCAAGCCGACGAUCUGUAGCUGGUCUGAGAGGACGACCAGCCACACUGGGACUGAGACACGGCCCAGACUCCUACGGGAGGCAGCAGUGGGGAAUUUUGGACAAUGGGCGAAAGCCUGAUCCAGCAAUGCCGCGUGCAGGAAGAAGGCCUUCGGGUUGUAAACUGCUUUUGUACGGAGCGAAAAGGUCCUUUCUAAUACAAGGGGCUCAUGACGGUACCGUAAGAAUAAGCACCGGCUAACUACGUGCCAGCAGCCGCCGUAA
RNAcentral lists this ribosomal RNA (493 nucleotides) under uncultured bacterium. RNAcentral's name for it is "partial 16S ribosomal RNA". It matches the Rfam family "Bacterial small subunit ribosomal RNA", at positions 30 to 523 of the family's 1533-position model. The record is from RNAcentral.